This 253-nucleotide ribosomal RNA is filed under the name uncultured bacterium. RNAcentral describes it as "partial 16S ribosomal RNA". It matches the Rfam family "Bacterial small subunit ribosomal RNA", at positions 524 to 776 of the family's 1533-position model. The record is from RNAcentral.
UACGUAGGGGGCAAGCGUUGUCCGGAAUUAUUGGGCGUAAAGAGCGUGUAGGCGGUCCGGUAAGUCGGCUGUGAAAGUCCAGGGCUCAACCCUGGGAUGCCGGUCGAUACUGCCGGGCUAGAGUCCGGAAGAGGCGAGUGGAAUUCCUGGUGUAGCGGUGGAAUGCGCAGAUAUCAGGAGGAACACCAACGGCGAAGGCAGCUCGCUGGGACGGUACUGACGCUGAGGCGCGAAAGCGUGGGGAGCGAACAGG